CCUACGGGAGGCAGCAGUGGGGAAUAUUGGGCAAUGGGCGCAAGCCUGACCCAGCAACGCCGCGUGAAGGAAGAAGGCUUUCGGGUUGUAAACUUCUUUUCUCAGGGACGAAGCAAGUGACGGUACCUGAGGAAUAAGCCACGGCUAACUACGUGCCAGCAGCCGCGGUAAUACGUAGGUGGCAAGCGUUAUCCGGCUUUACUGGGGGUAAAGGGCGGGUAGGCGGGAAAGCAAGUCAGAUGUGAAAACCAUGGGCUCAACCUGUGGCCUGCAUUUGAAACUGUUUUUCUUGAGUACUGGAGAGGCAGACGGAAUUCCUAGUGUAGCGGUGAAAUGCGUAGAUAUUAGGAGGAACACCAGUGGCGAAGGCGGUCUGCUGGACAGCAACUGACGCUGAGGCGCGAAAGCGUGGGGAGCAAACAGGAUUAGAUACCCGAGUAGUC
This 443-nucleotide ribosomal RNA is filed under the name uncultured bacterium. RNAcentral's name for it is "partial 16S ribosomal RNA". It matches the Rfam family "Bacterial small subunit ribosomal RNA", at positions 338 to 795 of the family's 1533-position model. The record is from RNAcentral.